This 132-nucleotide ribosomal RNA is filed under the name uncultured bacterium. RNAcentral's name for it is "partial 16S ribosomal RNA". It matches the Rfam family "Bacterial small subunit ribosomal RNA", at positions 356 to 504 of the family's 1533-position model. The record is from RNAcentral.
CGGGAAUAUUGCGCAAUGGAGGAAACUCUGACGCAGUGACGCCGCGUAUAGGAAGAAGGUUUUCGGAUUGUAAACUAUUGUCGUUAGGGAAGAUAAAAGACUGUACCUAAGGAGGAAGCCCCGGCUAACUAU